GACGAACGCUGGCGGCGUGCUUAACACAUGCAAGUCGAACGAGGCUCCUUCUUCGGUUGGGGUUCUAGUGGCGAACGGGUGAGUAACACGUGGGCAACCUGCCCCUGGCUCUGGGAUAACUCCAAGAAAUUGGGGCUAAUACCGGAUAUGACCGCUGAUCGCAUGGUCUGGUGGUGGAAAGAUUUAUCGGCUGGGGGAUGGGCCCGCGGCCUAUCAGCUUGUUGGUGGGGUAGUGGCCUACCAAGGCGACGACGGGUAGCCGGCCUGAGAGGGUGACCGGCCACACUGGGACUGAGACACGGCCCAGACUCCUACGGGAGGCAGCAGUGGGGAAUAUUGCGCAAUGGGCGAAAGCCUGACGCAGCGACGCCGCGUGGGGAUGACGGCCU
This 389-nucleotide ribosomal RNA is filed under the name uncultured bacterium. RNAcentral describes it as "bacterial SSU rRNA". It matches the Rfam family "Bacterial small subunit ribosomal RNA", at positions 28 to 417 of the family's 1533-position model. The record is from RNAcentral.